CCUACGGGAGGCAGCAGUGGGGAAUAUUGGGCAAUGGGCGCAAGCCUGACCCAGCAACGCCGCGUGAAGGAAGAAGGCUUUCGGGUUGUAAACUUCUUUUAAGAGGGAAGAGCAGAAGACGGUACCUCUUGAAUAAGCCACGGCUAACUACGUGCCAGCAGCCGCGGUAAUACGUAGGUGGCAAGCGUUGUCCGGAUUUACUGGGGGUAAAGGGCGUGCAGCCGGGAAGACAAGUCAGAUGUGAAAUCCCGCGGCUCAACCGCGGAACUGCAUUUGAAACUGUUUUUCUUGAGUACCGGAGAGGUCAUCGGAAGUCCUUGUGUAGCGGUGAAAUGCGUAGAUAUAAGGAAGAACACCAGUGGCGAAGGCGGAUGACUGGACGGCAACUGACGGUGAGGCGCGAAAGCGUGGGGAGCAAACAGGAUUAGAUACCCUUGUAGUC
This 442-nucleotide ribosomal RNA is filed under the name uncultured bacterium. RNAcentral describes it as "partial 16S ribosomal RNA". It matches the Rfam family "Bacterial small subunit ribosomal RNA", at positions 338 to 795 of the family's 1533-position model. The record is from RNAcentral.